GCCGCGGUAAUACGGAGGGUGCGAGCGUUAAUCGGGAAUUACUGGGCGUAAAGCGCAUGCAGGUGGUUUGUUAAGUCAGAUGUGAAAGCCCGGGGCUCAACCUCGGAAUUGCAUUUGAAACUGGCAAACUAGAGUACUGGUAGAGGGGGUAGAAUUUCAGGUGUAGCGGUGAAAUGCGUAGAGAUCUGAAGGAAUACCGGUGGCGAAGGCGGCCCCCUGGACAGAUACUGACACUCAGAUGCGAAAGCGUGGGGAGCAAACAGGAUUAGAUACCCUGGUAG
RNAcentral lists this ribosomal RNA (281 nucleotides) under uncultured bacterium. RNAcentral describes it as "partial 16S ribosomal RNA". It matches the Rfam family "Bacterial small subunit ribosomal RNA", at positions 514 to 793 of the family's 1533-position model. The record is from RNAcentral.